RNAcentral lists this ribosomal RNA (253 nucleotides) under uncultured bacterium. Its description in RNAcentral is "partial 16S ribosomal RNA". It matches the Rfam family "Bacterial small subunit ribosomal RNA", at positions 524 to 776 of the family's 1533-position model. The record is from RNAcentral.
UACGUAGGCAGCAAGCGUUGUUCGGAAUUACUGGGCGUAAAGAGUGUGUAGGCGGUGCUCUAAGUUCGGUGUGAAAUCCCCAGGCUCAACCUGGGAACUGCAUUCGAGACUGCAUUGCUAGAGUAUGGGAGAGGGAAGUGGAAUUUCAGGUGUAGCGGUGAAAUGCGUAGAUAUCUGAAGGAACAUCAGUGGCGAAAGCGACUUCCUGGACCAAUACUGACGCUCAUGUGCGAAAGCGUGGGGAGCAAACAGG